This 768-nucleotide small RNA is filed under the name Yarrowia lipolytica. Its description in RNAcentral is "eukaryotic LSU rRNA". The stretch from base 233 to 768 matches the Rfam family "Eukaryotic large subunit ribosomal RNA", at positions 1 to 517 of the family's 3401-position model. The record is from RNAcentral. Lineage: Eukaryota; Fungi; Ascomycota; Dipodascomycetes; Dipodascales.
CGUCAUUUUAUCUCAAUUAUAACUAUCAACAACGGAUCUCUUGGCUCUCACAUCGAUGAAGAACGCAGCGAACCGCGAUAUUUUUUGUGACUUGCAGAUGUGAAUCAUCAAUCUUUGAACGCACAUUGCGCGGUAUGGCAUUCCGUACCGCACGGAUGGAGGAGCGUGUUCCCUCUGGGAUCGCAUUGCUUUCUUGAAAUGGAUUUUUUUAAACUCUCAAUUAUUACGUCAUUUCACCUCCUUCAUCCGAGAUUACCCGCUGAACUUAAGCAUAUCAAUAAGCGGAGGAAAAGAAACCAACAGGGAUUGCCUCAGUAACGGCGAGUGAAGCGGCAAAAGCUCAAAUUUGAAACCCUCGGGAUUGUAAUUUGAAGAUUUGGCAUUGGAGAAAGCUAACCCAAGUUGCUUGGAAUAGUACGUCAUAGAGGGUGACAACCCCGUCUGGCUAACCGUUCUCCAUGUAUUGCCUUAUCAAAGAGUCGAGUUGUUUGGGAAUGCAGCUCAAAGUGGGUGGUAAACUCCAUCUAAAGCUAAAUACUGGUGAGAGACCGAUAGCGAACAAGUACUGUGAAGGAAAGGUGAAAAGAACUUUGAAAAGAGAGUGAAAUAGUAUGUGAAAUUGUUGAUAGGGAAGGAAAUGAGUGGAGAGUGGCCGAGGUUUCAGCCGCCCCUCGUGGGCGGUGUACUGCCGACGCCGAGUCAUCGAUAGCGAGACGAGGGUUACAAAUGGGAGCGCCUUCGGGCGUUCUCCCCUAACCCUCCACACUG